AUAUAUCUUUCCUUCAGAGCAAGAUGAAUUGUUUCAAUUUUGCUACUUUUCAGGUCUGCUAUUAAAUCAGGUUUUUGUGAAAGAUUAUUUCAUAAUAUGCCAUUUUCAUUCUUUGAUUAUCGUUUUACUUGUAUUUUGGGUUGUAUUUUCUGAGUUUUACCUGAAGUUUCUUGAUUCUAAAAAGACAAAAAUUCAAUUCGAUUAUUCUAUUUUUAGGUAGAUUAGAUUGGUUGCUUGGGGUGUAAUGGAAGAAAAUGACAAAAUUAUUUUUUCUUAUUUCUACUUAGAUUGUAGAAACUUUAAAAUUAAGUAUUACUUUAUGUUGGAGGUGGUAAUUGAAGAAGACCCAAUUCGUUCACUUAUGUUAAUUUUUUUGGACGUAACUGAAAUUUUGUUGGCUUCUUGGUUCAUGUUGUCCCCAAAUCUCACUUUAUGUGAUUAAAUAGGACAUGUUGUUGUAAUCAUAGAUUUGAUAAUUGAAUGCCUCUAAUACAGGAUAUUGAAACAUGAAAAUGGAUUUGGAAAAUAACUUGGUAAUAGUAAUUGAAACAAUCGAUGUGAAAUCCUUGGCAGAAUCACUGAGAUAUCACUUGAAGAAAGACGUUAAAAUUUUAACCGUGAAUGACUAGGCUUUGUUUAGACUAUUUGUAUCAUGCUACAGAGGUGUUCGGUGAUGAAAAUUCAAAUGCUAGCAGUGUUCUGUGAACAAUUCUGGUAAGUGCUUAGAAACUUUUCUAGAAGUAUUAGUGUAAGUAAUUACAAAUACUCAAAUGGUUGAUUGCUUAUAUUAGCAAAAUUAAUGCAUUGUAUAUGUUUAGAUGUAAUGUGGGAUUUUUGUUAUUUGUUUUGUAUGACUAAAAGGCAUACUUGUUAAGUACUUAGAAGGUUUUGAACUUUGAUUCUAAUUGAGUAUUAGAUGUCUGGGGCUAUUUUGCUAAUUUUCAUUGAGGAGAAAGGAAACAGUCUCUUUAUACUGCAAAUUAGAAAUAAGGUUUGCAUGUAUUUUUAUCUUUUUUGGACUUCACUUGUGUAAUCAUUAAAAGACAUUGAGUACUGAAGCCUGUAAUUGACAAAAGGCGUGCAAAUUUUCUUAUAGACAGUGGUACCGUAUAAGGCCUGCUUGUAAAGUACUUCUAUAGAAGGUUCUAAACUUUGAUUCCAACUGUAUAUUACAUGUGGUCUAUUUUACUUGUUGAAAUUGAGAAGAAUUAGGAAACAACCUUUCUAUCCUGCAAAGUAAGAAUAAGGUUCGCAUAUAUUUUAUCCUUUGUAAAUUUCACUUGUGAAAUCAUAGUGCAAAUGGCGGAGAUAUCUUUCUUUUUGCUCAUCUUUGUAAACCUAAUUCCAAUUAUAAAGUUAAAAUCUUUUUCAUUUUUUCUUGAAUUUUAUUUAUUUUCCUGUAAUUUGGUUUCUUUUUGGGGGUUUUUAAAUUAAGACUGAUUUCAAGAAUAUAUUAAGGAAGGAUCUUUGUAUUCUUUGUAAAUUCUCUGUAUACUUAUUAUACCCUUCCAGUUAUGUUGUUUAUGUUGAUUUAUUAUUUAUAGUGUGGAUUUGGAUAUUGUCUAAUGUUCGCAAAUCUCUAAUUUUAGUUUGAAUGUGUUUAUGGAUUGCUAAGCUUUAUUAUUUAGUAAUUUUUUGAUGCGGUCUUACCAUUUGCAGUAAAAUCCUAUUGAAAUUAACUAUGCCACGAAUCAGACUACUAAGGAAUCAUAGAGAGAUUCAACUGAAGCAAGAAGAGAAAUAGCUAAGCUACUAGAGACUAGUCAGGAAGCUACUACUGGAAUUCGGAGAGAAUGAUGGCAGCAUAGUAGAUAGCCGAGCUAUUCUGUCAGCUAAUACAUGUUCCGUCUUCCAAGUACUGAAGCACAAAGUUUGGGGAGACUGCUAACUGAGCUGAAAGUUGACAAGAGUAGCAAAGAUUGAAUUUUGUGAGGGGGAAUGAGCUGAGUUCUCCUCAUUCCAACUGAUCAGGGUUACUGCUUGCUUGAUGGUUUUGGAAGUGUUACUUUUGAUUGGUUGCAUUGGCCAUAAGCUCAUCAGUCAGUCAUUCAGCCAUUGAGUAUAGAGAAAAUCACUUGAUGUGAGAAAAACAUUGAUUUGUUGAAGUUGCACGCGCACUCCACAUCUCUACAAUACUUUUGAAGAAAGGUGUAGGGAGGGGUCUCACGCCAUUAACCAUAACAAACAUCACGUGUCGAGAAACCUUGAACAAUGAAUCUUUGACCGAGGAGAUUGUUCAAGAAACACUGGACUUCGUACUUCCUAGAUCCAAGUAAAGAUACAUUCCUUGAGACCAUCUAACAUGUCACAUAUCACCGCCUUGACGAAGUUGCCUGUUAACAUUGACAUAUAGGUGUACAUAGGAUGAGAGUCUGCAGAUACCUUUCGUCUGAAUGCAUUAACUUCGAAAGAAUAUCCUGAUUUAUUAUUUUCAAUUGAUUUUCGCAGUUAACUGGAAAUGACUAGCUAGGUUGUGACCAAGUUUGUCAGUUGUCAAAAACUGUUAAGUUUGUUUGUUGUUCAUCUUUCUAUGUUGGAUUAACUUAAGAGUAACAAUAGCCUUUUCCUCAAAUAAUAUUUUAUGUUAUGAGUAUUAA
Capsicum annuum is the source of this 2597-nucleotide long non-coding RNA. RefSeq lists it as uncharacterized. Lineage: Eukaryota; Viridiplantae; Streptophyta; Magnoliopsida; Solanales; Solanaceae. The record is from RefSeq and is a predicted model, not a curated record. The transcript is spliced from 4 exons.